This 202-nucleotide ribosomal RNA is filed under the name uncultured bacterium. RNAcentral's name for it is "partial 16S ribosomal RNA". It matches the Rfam family "Bacterial small subunit ribosomal RNA", at positions 1299 to 1500 of the family's 1533-position model. The record is from RNAcentral.
UGCAGUCCGCAACUCGACUGCAUGAAGCUGGAAUCGCUAGUAAUCGCGGAUCAGAAUGCCGCGGUGAAUACGUUCCCGGGUCUUGUACACACCGCCCGUCACACCAUGGGAGUCAGUAACGCCCGAAGUCAGUGACCGAACCGAGAGGACGGAGCUGCCGAAGGCGGGACGGAUAACUGGGGUGAAGUCGUAACAAGGUAUC